CUAAAGAUAGUAUAAGGUGGUUGUACAUAAAAUUUUGGAUUUUAUAGUGCGGGUUCGUGACCCUGCUCUUUAGU
RNAcentral lists this transfer RNA (74 nucleotides) under Pachydactylus punctatus. Its description in RNAcentral is "tRNA-Gln". It matches the Rfam family "tRNA". From Rfam's summary of the family: Transfer RNA (tRNA) molecules are approximately 80 nucleotides in length. Their secondary structure includes four short double-helical elements and three loops (D, anti-codon, and T loops). The record is from RNAcentral. Lineage: Eukaryota; Metazoa; Chordata; Lepidosauria; Squamata; Gekkonidae.